This is a long non-coding RNA of Epinephelus moara (kelp grouper), 1429 nucleotides long. RefSeq lists it as uncharacterized. The record is from RefSeq and is a predicted model, not a curated record. NCBI's taxonomy places the organism in Eukaryota, Metazoa, Chordata, Actinopteri, Perciformes, Serranidae. The transcript is spliced from 3 exons.
CCUAUCACCACCCUUUCCUUCCUCACCUUUGCAUGGGGUGGCAGUGCUGGUAAGAGUUUAAGUAAUCUAUUCUUUAGAUUUGUCCUAUGUCCAUGUUAGUUUGCUAAUAACCUUAUUUCUUUAAGAUGGGCAUGUAACCUUAUUUCACUUAUUAUAAUAUAACUUUCUAAGUCUUUAUCUUAUUUUUGCUGUCUUCCAGAUUCACCACCCAUGUGUGCUUUUGUGCCCUUUAUUGAAUUAAACUCAGUCAAACUUUCUGGAAAAUAAACUUAUGUUUGAAAAAUCAUUUCCUGGAAUUUUUGGCUUUACUAUACAGUUUUCCAGUAAUGACUAAAAAAAUGCACAUGUAUAGCUGUUGUUGUGGUUGUUGUGGUUGUGGUUGUUGUUGUGGUUGUUGUUGUGGUUGUUGUUGCUUACUAGUAAAAGCACCGUGAAAGAAACUUGAACAGGAGACAUUUAAGUUUAAUAUAAAUAUAUUCAUUAAUUCAUUUUAAUUGUUCAAACUGAUCACAUGCUCUUCAUGAAAACUGACAUGGACAUAGUGGGGGUCAUCGUGAACAAGAAUCCACUGAAAGAUUUAUAUAACCUAUUUAGGAUUUCCUUUAAAUUAAUAUUUAAUGAGGAAAUUAUGAUAGGGUAAUUUGAGCAGACUUUUCCUUAAAUUUCUCAAACUGUGCAGCUAAACUACAUAAAAAUUGACACAAACAUGGUCAGGGUCAUUUUGAACAAGAAUCCGUUAAAAUAUUUACAUAACCUAUGAAGAUUUAAAAAAAAAAAAAAAAAAAAAAUUAAUAAUAAUUAGGGGUGUAAUGGUACACAGAAAUCUCGGUUCGGUACGUACCUCGGUACACAAGUCACGGUUCAGUUUUUUUUGGUACAGUAAUGAAAAAAAUAGACAACUAUUAAAUAUCUUUUACUUAUUGGUACCCUUACACUCAAAAAACCAGAUUGGGUGUCUGCUAAAUUAAUCUAAGUGUAACAUGUUGCUUCUACCAUAUAUAGUCAUGUUUUGUGGUUGAACAUCAUUAAGUAAUGUUAUUUUAGCAUGAUGUGCAAUAACUUAACAUUUACUAAAUUCAGUUAUGCUGGCAGAACCUAAUGCUUUUUGGGUAAGAUAUCAAAUGGCGUGUACAACUCCAAAACAGAAGGUGGCAGUAGUUUGCGAGCAGGGAGUGCAUUUACAAACUUUACUUCCGGAAGUUGCAGAAGAAGGCAGAGCGGCGCCACACACGAAAAAGACGGGCGGCCGGAAAAGUUGGAGAAGGCGGUAAGAGAAAUUCAAGACCAAGUUUCCUCUGUCAUCAAGCAAAACCUGUUUCAUCAACCGAGUGACUGCAGUAUAGGGUCAUCUACCAAUAAAUUCAAGACCAAGUGUGUGGAGCCAUUCACCUCAACUGCCAUCCCUUCGCAAAAGUGUCCCAGAAAAGGG